Molecule: ribosomal RNA, 485 nt
Filed under: uncultured bacterium
Lineage: Bacteria
Description: partial 16S ribosomal RNA
Rfam family: Bacterial small subunit ribosomal RNA
Source: RNAcentral
AUUGAACGCUGGCGGCAUGCCUUACACAUGCAAGUCGAACGGCAGCACGGGUGCUUGCACCUGGUGGCGAGUGGCGAACGGGUGAGUAAUACAUCGGAACAUGUCCUGUAGUGGGGGAUAGCCCGGCGAAAGCCGGAUUAAUACCGCAUACGAUCUACGGAUGAAAGCGGGGGACCUUCGGGCCUCGCGCUAUAGGGUUGGCCGAUGGCUGAUUAGCUAGUUGGUGGGGUAAAGGCCUACCAAGGCGACGAUCAGUAGCUGGUCUGAGAGGACGACCAGCCACACUGGGACUGAGACACGGCCCAGACUCCUACGGGAGGCAGCAGUGGGGAAUUUUGGACAAUGGGCGAAAGCCUGAUCCAGCAAUGCCGCGUGUGUGAAGAAGGCCUUCGGGUUGUAAAGCACUUUUGUCCGGGAAGAAAUCCUUGGCCCUAAUACGGUCGGGGGAUGACGGUACCGGAAGAAUAAGCACCGGCUAACUACGU